RNAcentral lists this ribosomal RNA (1357 nucleotides) under uncultured bacterium. RNAcentral describes it as "bacterial SSU rRNA". It matches the Rfam family "Bacterial small subunit ribosomal RNA", at positions 27 to 1381 of the family's 1533-position model. The record is from RNAcentral.
GGAUGAACGCUGGCGGCGUGCCUAAUACAUGCAAGUCGGACGGAUGUAGCAAUACAUUAGUGGCGAACGGGUGAGUAACACGUAGGUGACCUGCCCUAAGGAGGGGAAUACCACUUCGAAAGGGGUGACAAAACCGCAUAAACUUAUAGAGAUCAGAAGGCUAUAAGGAAAAGAGCGAUCUACUUUAGGAGGGGCCUGCGGCCCAUCAGCUAGUUGGUAGAGGUAACGGCCUACCAAGGCGAAGACGGGUAGGGGACCUGAGAGGGUGAUCCCCCACAAUGGAACUGAAACACGGUCCAUACACCUGCGGGUGGCAGCAGUAGGGAAUAUUGGGCAAUGGGCGAAAGCCUGACCCAGCGACGCCGCGUGGGCGAUGAAGGCCUUCGGGUUGUAAAGCCCUGUCAUGCGGAAAGAACGACCCUGCGACGCAUAAUCGCAGGGAGUGACGGUACCGCAGGAGGAAGCACCGGCUAACUCCGUGCCAGCAGCCGCGGUAAUACGGAGGGUGCAAGCGUUGUUCGGAAUUAUUGGGCGUAAAGGGCGCGUAGGCGGUAAUGCUAGUCAGAUGUGAAAUACUCCGGCUCAACCGGGGAACUGCAUCUGAAACUGCAUAACUAGAGUACAGAAGAGGGAAACGGAAUUCCCGGUGUAGAGGUGAAAUUCGUAGAUAUCGGGAGGAACACCAGUGGCGAAGGCGGUUUCCUGGUCUGAUACUGACGCUGAGGCGCGAAAGUGUGGGGAGCAAACAGGAUUAGAUACCCUGGUAGUCCACACUGUAAACGGUGAACACUAGGUGUGGGAGGUGUAAUACCUUCCGUGCCGUAGCUAACGCGUUAAGUGUUCCGCCUGGGAAGUACGGCCGCAAGGUUGAAACUCAAAGGAAUUGACGGGGGCCCGCACAAGCGGUGGAGCAUGUGGUUUAAUUCGACGCAACGCGAAAAACCUUACCUGGGUUUGACAUGCCGAGAACCCUGAUGAAAAUCGGGGGUGCCCCGUAAGGGGAACUUGGACACAGGUGCUGCAUGGCUGUCGUCAGCUCGUGCCGUGAGGUGUUGGGUUAAGUCCCGCAACGAGCGCAACCCUCAUCCUUAGUUGCCAUCAUUAAGUUGGGCACCCUAAGGAAACUGCCGCAGUUAAUGCGGAGGAAGGUGGGGAUGACGUCAAGUCCUCAUGGCCCUUAUAUCCAGGGCUACACACGUGCUACAAUGGGCGGCACAAAGGGUUGCAAACCCGCGAGGGGGAGCUAAUCCCACAAAUCCGCUCCUAGUUCGGAUUGGACUCUGCAACUCGAGUCCAUGAAGCUGGAAUCGCUAGUAAUCGCGGAUCAGCAUGCCGCGGUGAAUACGUUCCCGGGCCU